ACAAGCCAUUGAUCGGUACGGGUUGUGAGAGCAAGAGCCCGGAGAUGGAUUCUGAGACACGAAUCCAGGCCCUACGGGGCGCAGCAGGCGCGAAAACUUUACAAUGCGAGAAAUCGUGAUAAGGGAACCCCGAGUGCCCGUAAAUUCGGGCUGUCCGCCAGUGUAAAUAACUGGUGAAGAAAGGGCCGGGCAAGACCGGUGCCAGCCGCCGCGGUAAUACCGGCGGCUCGAGUGGUGGCCACUAUUACUGGGCUUAAAGCGUCCGUAGCUGGAUUGUUAAGUCUCUUGGGAAAUCCACCGGCUCAACCGAUGGGCGUUCAGGAGAAACUGGCAAUCUAGGGACCGGGAGAGGUGAGAGGUACUCCAGGGGUAGGAGUGAAAUCCUGUAAUCCUUGGGGGACCACCUGUGGCGAAGGCGUCUCACUAGAACGGCUCCGACAGUGAGGGACGAAAGCUGGGGGAGCAAACCGGAUUAGAUACCCGGGUAGUCCCAGCUGUAAACGAUGCGCGUUAGGUGUAUCGGUGACCACGAGUCAUCGAGGUGCCGAAGGGAAACCGUGAAACGU
Molecule: ribosomal RNA, 566 nt
Filed under: uncultured archaeon
Lineage: Archaea
Description: bacterial SSU rRNA
Rfam family: Archaeal small subunit ribosomal RNA
Source: RNAcentral